This 116-nucleotide ribozyme is filed under the name Aedes aegypti (yellow fever mosquito). RNAcentral's name for it is "drz-agam-1 ribozyme". It matches the Rfam family "drz-agam-1 ribozyme". Lineage: Eukaryota; Metazoa; Arthropoda; Insecta; Diptera; Culicidae. The record is from Rfam by way of RNAcentral.
UGCCCAGCAACUCCUAUCCCUAACCCCUCGUGGUACUGGCAGGGGUCGAGUAACCUUGGGGAAGAUCGGGUAACCAACCCCCGCUGGGAACUUUGGUCGUAUGCUGAUAAGGAAGG